Molecule: small nucleolar RNA, 96 nt
Organism: Cannabis sativa
Lineage: Eukaryota; Viridiplantae; Streptophyta; Magnoliopsida; Rosales; Cannabaceae
Source: RefSeq, a predicted model, not a curated record
GUGAAGCUUGUGAUGAUUCUCAUCUAAUAAAUGAGUUAUUUUUAACUGAGAUAAUAAUCUUUGAAGUUUUUUCACCUUGGAGAACUGAAGCUUCCU